AUUCAAGAGCAGUUUGCUGCAGGAGGUGCUCCCACACAUUAGUUUCCAAGUGAAACAGCUAUAAAGGAAGUAGGAUGGAUACUGAAGAUUUGUGCGACCUAAGAAUGAAGGUUGCCGCUGGUGCCACAUUAAAGAGAACAAUUCCCGAGGAAAAAAAGAAGUUGGGAGAACCUCGUUAACAAGGCAGCACUCCUCUUCUACCAUCCCUCUCCAGGAAUCGCAGGAUUGUUGUUCUGAGAAUGAGCGUGCACAGUAGUGCACUGUUAACAGUGUUUUGCACGUAGCAGGUGCUUAAUAAAUGUUUGACGAAUGAA
Molecule: long non-coding RNA, 314 nt
Filed under: Homo sapiens (human)
Lineage: Eukaryota; Metazoa; Chordata; Mammalia; Primates; Hominidae
Description: HSALNT0380673
Source: RNAcentral